This 67-nucleotide transfer RNA is filed under the name Culex quinquefasciatus (southern house mosquito). It matches the Rfam family "tRNA", at positions 9 to 71 of the family's 71-position model. From Rfam's summary of the family: Transfer RNA (tRNA) molecules are approximately 80 nucleotides in length. Their secondary structure includes four short double-helical elements and three loops (D, anti-codon, and T loops). Further hydrogen bonds mediate the characteristic L-shaped molecular structure. tRNAs have two regions of fundamental functional importance: the anti-codon, which is responsible for specific mRNA codon recognition, and the 3' end, to which the tRNAs corresponding amino acid is attached (by aminoacyl-tRNA synthetases). tRNAs cope with the degeneracy of the genetic code in two manners: having more than one tRNA (with a specific anti-codon) for a particular amino acid; and 'wobble' base-pairing, i.e. permitting non-standard base-pairing at the 3rd anti-codon position. Lineage: Eukaryota; Metazoa; Arthropoda; Insecta; Diptera; Culicidae. The record is from Rfam by way of RNAcentral.
CGUCCAAUAUAGUUAAGCUGUCCGCUUUGUAAGCGGAUGGUCAUGGGUUCGAUUCCCAUUUGCUCCA